RNAcentral lists this transfer RNA (68 nucleotides) under Polyspathotermes sulcifrons. RNAcentral's name for it is "Cubitermes sulcifrons tRNA-Phe". It matches the Rfam family "tRNA". Rfam says of the family: Transfer RNA (tRNA) molecules are approximately 80 nucleotides in length. Their secondary structure includes four short double-helical elements and three loops (D, anti-codon, and T loops). Lineage: Eukaryota; Metazoa; Arthropoda; Insecta; Blattodea; Termitidae. The record is from RNAcentral.
ACUUGAAUAGCUUAUGUUUAGGGCGCAACAUUGAAGAUGUUGAUGAGGUAAUUAAUUACCUUUAAGUA